RNAcentral lists this ribosomal RNA (253 nucleotides) under uncultured bacterium. Its description in RNAcentral is "partial 16S ribosomal RNA". It matches the Rfam family "Bacterial small subunit ribosomal RNA", at positions 524 to 776 of the family's 1533-position model. The record is from RNAcentral.
UACGGAGGGAGCUAGCGUUGUUCGGAAUUACUGGGCGUAAAGCGCACGUAGGCGGCUUUUUAAGUCAGGGGUGAAAUCCCGGGGCUCAACCCCGGAACUGCCCUUGAAACUGGAGAGCUAGAAUCUUGGAGAGGCGAGUGGAAUUCCGAGUGUAGAGGUGAGAUUCGUAGAUAUUCGGAAGAACACCAGUGGCGAAGGCGACUCGCUGGACAAGUAUUGACGCUGAGGUGCGAAAGCGUGGGGAGCAAACAGG